RNAcentral lists this ribosomal RNA (417 nucleotides) under uncultured beta proteobacterium. RNAcentral describes it as "bacterial SSU rRNA". It matches the Rfam family "Bacterial small subunit ribosomal RNA", at positions 9 to 429 of the family's 1533-position model. Lineage: Bacteria; Pseudomonadati; Pseudomonadota; Betaproteobacteria. The record is from RNAcentral.
GAGUUUGAUCAUGGCUCAGAUUGAACGCUGGCGGCAUGCCUUACACAUGCAAGUCGAGCGGCAGCGCGGGGGCAACCCUGGCGGCGAGCGGCGAACGGGUGAGUAAUACAUCGGAACGUGUCCUGUCGUGGGGAUAACCAGUCGAAAGAUUGGCUAAUACCGCAUGACCUCGUAAGAGAAAAGCGGGGGGACCGUAAGGCCUCGGCGCGACUGGAGCGGACCGAUGUCGGAUUAGCUAGUUGGCGGGGUAAAAGCCCACCAAGGCGACGAUCCGUAGCUGGUUUGAGAGAACGACCAGCCACACUGGGACUGAGACACGGCCCAGACUCCUACGGGAGGCAGCAGUGGGGAAUUUUGGACAAUGGGGGCAACCCUGAUCCAGCCAUGCGCGUGUGUGAAGAAGGCCUCGGUUGUAAG